UGGGGAUGUAGCUCAGUGAUAGAGCGCUUGCUCAGCAUGAAUGAGGCCCUUGGUUCAAUACCCAGCACUUAA
This 72-nucleotide transfer RNA is filed under the name Marmota monax (woodchuck). Its description in RNAcentral is "tRNA.Ala". Lineage: Eukaryota; Metazoa; Chordata; Mammalia; Rodentia; Sciuridae. The record is from RNAcentral.